UACGAAGGGUGCAAGCGUUACUCGGAAUUACUGGGCGUAAAGCGUGCGUAGGUGGUUCGUUAAGUCUGAUGUGAAAGCCCUGGGCUCAACCUGGGAAUGGCAUUGGAAACUGGCGACCUAGAGUGCGGUAGAGGGUAGUGGAAUUCCCAGUGUAGCAGUGAAAUGCGUAGAGAUCGGGAGGAACAUCUGUGGCGAAGGCGACUGCCUGGACCAGCACUGACACUGAGGCACGAAAGCGUGGGGAGCAAACAGG
This 253-nucleotide ribosomal RNA is filed under the name uncultured bacterium. RNAcentral's name for it is "partial 16S ribosomal RNA". It matches the Rfam family "Bacterial small subunit ribosomal RNA", at positions 524 to 776 of the family's 1533-position model. The record is from RNAcentral.